GAUGAACGCUAGCGGGAGGCCUAAUACAUGCAAGUCGAACGGUAAGGUCCCUUCGGGGAUACACGAGUGGCGGACGGGUGCGUAACGCGUACGAAACAUACCUUCAACAGGGAGAUACCUCCGGGAAAACUGGAAAUAAUACCCCAUAGUAUUGAGAUAUCGCAUGAUAUUUCAAUUAAAGCUUUGGCGGUUGAAGAUUGUCGUGCGUCUGAUUAGCUAGUUGGUGAGGUAACGGCUCACCAAGGCGACGAUCAGUAGCUGGUCUGAGAGGAUGAUCAGCCACACUGGAACUGAGACACGGUCCAGACUCCUACGGGAGGCAGCAGUGGGGAAUUUUGGACAAUGGCGCAAGCCUGAUCCAGCAAUGCCGCGUGCAGGAUGAAGGCCUCGGUUGUAACGUAGA
RNAcentral lists this ribosomal RNA (403 nucleotides) under uncultured bacterium. Its description in RNAcentral is "bacterial SSU rRNA". It matches the Rfam family "Bacterial small subunit ribosomal RNA", at positions 28 to 436 of the family's 1533-position model. The record is from RNAcentral.